GCGGGUAUCGUAUAAUGGCAUUACCACAGGUUUCCAACCUGUUGACAGGGGUUCGACUCCCCUUACCCGCUCCA
Molecule: transfer RNA, 74 nt
Filed under: Candidatus Yanofskybacteria bacterium RIFCSPHIGHO2_02_FULL_43_15c
Lineage: Bacteria; Candidatus Yanofskyibacteriota
Description: tRNA-Gly
Rfam family: tRNA
About the family: Transfer RNA (tRNA) molecules are approximately 80 nucleotides in length.
Source: RNAcentral